AACGCGAAGAACCUUACCUGGGCUUGACAUACACCGGAUCGGGCUAGAGAUAGUCUUUCCCUUUGUGGCUGGUGUACAGGUGGUGCAUGGUUGUCGUCAGCUCGUGUCGUGAGAUGUUGGGUUAAGUCCCGCAACGAGCGCAACCCUUGUCUUAUGUUGCCAGCAUUUGGUUGGGGACUCAUGAGAGACUGCCGGGGUCAACUCGGAGGAAGGUGGGGAUGACGUCAAAUCAUCAUGCCCCUUAUGUCCAGGGCUUCACACAUGCUACAAUGGUCGGUACAACGCGCAGCGACACUGUGAGGUGGAGCGAAUCGCUGAAAGCCGGCCUUAGUUCGGAUUGGGGUCCGCAACUCGACCCCAUGAAGUCGGAGUCGCUAGUAAUCGCAGAUCAGCAAUGCUGCGGUGAAUACGUUCCCGGGCCUUGUACACACCGCCCGUCACGUCAUGAAAGUUGGUAACACCCGAAGCCGGUGGCCCAAACUUGUUAGGGAGCCGUCGAAGGUGGGAUCGGCGAUUGGGACGAAGUCGUAACAAGGUAACCUUAAUUAAAA
RNAcentral lists this ribosomal RNA (551 nucleotides) under uncultured bacterium. RNAcentral describes it as "bacterial SSU rRNA". It matches the Rfam family "Bacterial small subunit ribosomal RNA", at positions 958 to 1511 of the family's 1533-position model. The record is from RNAcentral.